UGUGCACGCUUGUUGUCUUUUUAUUUCUCCAACUGUGCACAAAUUGUAGACCUUCUCUCUGGAGGACUAUGUUGUUUUUCACAAUCUCUGAAUGUAAUAGAAAUCUGGGGAAUAUACAAUACAACUUUCAGCAACGGAUCUCUUGGCUCUCGCAUCGAUGAAGAACGCAGCGAAAUGCGAUAAGUAAUGUGAAUUGCAGAAUUCAGUGAAUCAUCGAAUCUUUGAACGCAUCUUGCGCUCCUUGGUACUCCGAGGAGCAUGCCUGUUUGAGUGUCAUUUAAACCUUCUCAACUGCUCCAAUUUGGUGUGGCUUGGAAAUGGGGGGAUUGUGCAGGCUUUUCAAAAGUCUGCUCCCCUGAAAUGUAUCAGCGGCGUCUGAGCAGGACUACCACAGGUGUGAUAACUGUCAAUGCCUUGGUAUACAUGCUGCGCUGUCUUUAAAUGUGACCCAUUGUUGACCAACUUGACCUCAAAUCAGGUAGGAUUACCCGCUGAACUUAAGCAUAUCAAUAAGCGGAG
Molecule: ribosomal RNA, 519 nt
Filed under: uncultured Inocybe
Lineage: Eukaryota; Fungi; Basidiomycota; Agaricomycetes; Agaricales; Cortinariaceae
Description: eukaryotic LSU rRNA
Rfam family: 5.8S ribosomal RNA (bases 123-276)
Source: RNAcentral